GUAGGUGAACCUGCGGAAGGAUCAUUACCGUGGGGGCUUCGGCCCCCUUGAGAUAGAACCCUUGCCUUUUUUGAGUACCUUCGUUUUCCUCGGCAGGCUCGCCUGCCAAUGGGGACCCCAAUAAACCCUUUGUAAUACCUGAAAUCGUCUGGCAAAACAAACAAAAAUUAAAACUUUCAACAACGGAUCUCUUGGUUCUG
RNAcentral lists this unclassified non-coding RNA (200 nucleotides) under rhizosphere metagenome. RNAcentral's name for it is "partial ribosomal RNA internal transcribed spacer region". The record is from RNAcentral.